GAUGAACGCUAGCGGCAGGCCUAACACAUGCAAGUCGAGGGGUAGCAGGAUUAAGCUUGCUUAAUUGCUGACGACCGGCGCACGGGUGCGUAACGCGUAUGCAACCUGCCUUAUACCGGGGUAUAGCCCGGAGAAAUUCGGAUUAAUCCCCCAUAGUACUAAUGAAUCGCAUGGUUUAUUAGUUAAAGCAUUGCGGUAUAAGAUGGGCAUGCGUCCUAUUAGCUAGAUAGUGAGGUAACGGCUCACCAUGGCUACGAUAGGUAGGGGGCCUGAGAGGGUGGUCCCCCACACUGGUACUGAGACACGGACCAGACUCCUACGGGAGGCAGCAGUGAGGAAUAUUGGUCAAUGGGCGCAAGCCUGAACCAGCCAUGCCGCGUGCAGGAAGAAUGCCCUAUGGGUUGUAAACUGCUUUUAUUUGGGAAUAAACCUCUUUACGUGUAGAGAGCUGAAGGUACCAAAUGAAUAAGCACCGGCUAACUCCGUGCCAGCCGCCGCCGUAA
RNAcentral lists this ribosomal RNA (503 nucleotides) under uncultured bacterium. RNAcentral's name for it is "partial 16S ribosomal RNA". It matches the Rfam family "Bacterial small subunit ribosomal RNA", at positions 28 to 523 of the family's 1533-position model. The record is from RNAcentral.